Non-coding RNA from Spodoptera litura, 1010 nucleotides. The record is from RefSeq and is a predicted model, not a curated record. NCBI's taxonomy places the organism in Eukaryota, Metazoa, Arthropoda, Insecta, Lepidoptera, Noctuidae.
ACCUCCAAGUACAACAAGGACGGCACUAGCGUUACAUAGUUCAAUGUUUUUGUUGUGAGUAUGUAUGCAGUGUGCGCUGUCAUGUCAGCUGAGUGAUUAUUGAGUUGAGCAAUGGUGGUGUUUUUACAUUUUCGAGAGCUAAAAUUAUAAACAGCCCAUCGAACUGGUGUAAUUUCCUUUUAAGUGUUUGUUAAUUAUUUACGUGAUGAAUAGAAAAUGUGUUUAUGCAUCAUAUUUUAAUAUUUAACAAUGCUCUAAGGAGUAUUUCGGAGGAUUCUGGACUGCGGUCCAUUUUUCUAGGACACAAGAUUAAUGCAAGUGGUAGUUACACUACGCUGUAUUAUAUUUAAGCUGUGAAGAUUCAAACAAACAACCGUCACCAUGCUGUAUGUUUUCCAUGUAGAUGCUGGUCAAAUGACCACAUAUGACAUGGGACUAACACUGCAAAAAGUGUCUUCACUUAAACUAGCUAUUGAGAGAAAGACCAAAGUCCCGGCCAACUCAUUGGUGCUCCUAGUGAGUGGAGGAGAGGUUCUCCAAUCGGACCAUAUGGUGUCCUCAUACAGUGCUGGCACAGACACAAACCCAAUAUAUAUGUUCAGCAAACCAUCAGUGAAGGAGAGCCAUUUGAACCAGUCUAGUAAGUAUACAGGCUUUUACUUGACUAUGGCGGCUAUAUGCUAUUCAGAUCUUUGAGCAGGGAAAUCUUGCUGUAAUAAACUUGUAAUUAUCUUCAAUAUAUUUUGAAAUGUCAGACUGAACUCAUAAGAUGGCUGUUAGGUAAACAAAUGCGACAGUAAAUACAACUAAUUUGUUGUUUAUCAACUUCAAACAGUGACAAAUUAUGAUUUGAAUACAUGAUUCAGUUCAAAGCUUUGUUCGUAUAUUUAUUCUAAUUUAUCAUGAUUUUUAUUUAAGGCCAUCAAUAUUUAAUGAACAUUGCCAAUAGAACCAUUCUCUUACUUAUUUUUUAAUCAGUUUGAAGUAGAUUAAAUAAAUACAUUGAAGAC